UUUUCCUUGGUUCAUUAUUCCAAUGAAGUAUUGAUGAUAGAAGAUCUUCUAGUAAUUUAGAUAGGCAUUACAUGCAAGUUGGGAGCCAAGGCAUUCAUGUCACAGAUUUCCAUGGCAGCAGUAUGUUAAAGUUGGAGCUGUUCUUCGCCAAUUCGGAUACACUGUGGUUGCUUUAAUGGCUGUUUGAGAACAGAAAUUCAGGCAAAAAUUGGGCAUGAAAAUAAGCACUCUAGAAGCAAAUAAUCAAGACAAAAGAAGGAUUGGAGUGAGGACAGAUUAUCAUGACAAAGUACACCAAAAACUAUGAUUGAGAUUUUAUGUAUUAAGAGCUAUAUGUUAAGACAUUUAUAAUUAAAAAAUUAUGUUAUGUUAGAUACUUUA
This is a non-coding RNA of Arachis ipaensis, 381 nucleotides long. The record is from RefSeq and is a predicted model, not a curated record. Lineage: Eukaryota; Viridiplantae; Streptophyta; Magnoliopsida; Fabales; Fabaceae.